UGUUCUGCAAGGUGAGAGCUGCAUCAGUAACAUGUUUUGCGGGCAUAACUUCCUCUGUAUUCUUCUCUCUUGCGAAGGAGAAACAGGAUUUCAUUCUUUCUGCUGCGAUUAAUGCAGCCAAACAAGACAAGGUGCCUUCAAUUAGAUCAGCUUCUUGUUGAGCCAUUGGUGUCAUUUCAUGUUUUCCUAAAGUUUUCCAGAGUGCAGAGAUCCUGAACAAAUUGAUUCACGCAGUGGAGAUUAAUACCCGCGACCCCUCAAUAUCAGUGCGAAUAACUGCUUCUUGGGCUUUGGCAAACAUAUGUGAUUCUAUCCGGCACUGUAUUGAUACUCUUGCUUUGGAAGGCUCCACAGACUAUACUGCAGUCUCUGAAUCAGUGGCAUUACUAACUGAUUAUACUGAAAUGACAGCACAUAACACCAAAAUGAAUCAUCUGAUAGUAUCAACCGUGAUAGUGCCCCUGUGCUUAAACUGAAAUGACAGCACA
Long non-coding RNA from Humulus lupulus (European hop), 488 nucleotides. RefSeq lists it as uncharacterized. NCBI's taxonomy places the organism in Eukaryota, Viridiplantae, Streptophyta, Magnoliopsida, Rosales, Cannabaceae. The transcript is spliced from 5 exons. The record is from RefSeq and is a predicted model, not a curated record.